RNAcentral lists this transfer RNA (361 nucleotides) under uncultured Microcystis sp. RNAcentral's name for it is "partial 16S-23S ribosomal RNA intergenic spacer". The stretch from base 136 to 209 matches the Rfam family "tRNA". The record is from RNAcentral. Lineage: Bacteria; Bacillati; Cyanobacteriota; Cyanophyceae; Chroococcales; Microcystaceae.
AAAGGGAGACCUAAUUCAGGUAGGAGACGAAAAAAAAGUAGUCCCUACCAGGAAUCAAUCCCAAAAGGUCGGAGCGAGGCGAAAUUGGCUUUCAAACUAGGUUCUGGGUUCAAACAAGACCUGAAUCAGGAACAAGGGCUAUUAGCUCAGGUGGUUAGAGCGCACCCCUGAUAAGGGUGAGGUCCCUGGUUCGAGUCCAGGAUGGCCCACCUGCACAGGUGGCAAAAACAAGAGAAGCGAGGAAUCAGCACCUUAUCUUACUUAUAUAGUAAGAGAGAAUGCUGGCUCUGAGUAAAGAGUCCAGAGGAACCUUGAAAACUGCAUAGAGCUAGGUGAAAAAGCCAAAAAAGAAGACCGCAAG